Molecule: long non-coding RNA, 422 nt
Filed under: Sorghum bicolor (sorghum)
Lineage: Eukaryota; Viridiplantae; Streptophyta; Magnoliopsida; Poales; Poaceae
Description: long non-coding RNA (SBIC_LNC000296)
Source: RNAcentral
GGUUCGCCAUCACUUCUAUUAUUUGUAACUAUAUAUGCUAAUUGGUUCGUAAGUAUACGUACUAAUUGGCUAUAUAUCGCCAUGCAAGAUCACUAACGAAGCCUCGAGCAAUGUUAUUCUUUUUUUGAAGAAUCUGGAGGGGUUUUACCCCCUACAAUAUAAUAAUUAUUAUUAUUAAAGAAAAACAAGAGUUCUGGAACAAGGAGAAGAGGAAGAAGUACAAGUACAUGAAUCAAGAAACAAAAAAAGAAAGGAAAAAAAUUGCUCUAGGCAGCUAGCAGUUCUAGGUGAUGAAACCAUGAGUCAAACUGAGGUUGUUGAUCUUGCUUUAUUCUGAACCGAAUAAGCUUGAGUUCCUUGAAAAAGGUUCUGAUGUAUUCGUCCCUGCAAGUUCCAUUUCCUCUGAAAAUCAGCUCAUUUCG